UAACGGCGAGUGAAGCGGCAACAGCUCAAAUUUGAAAUCUGGCCGCAAGGUCCGAGUUGUAAUUUGCAGAGGAUGCUUUUGGCGAGGUGCCUUCCGAGUUCCCUGGAACGGGACGCCAUAGAGGGUGAGAGCCCCGUACGGUAGGACCACCGAGCCUUUGUAAAGCUCCUUCGACGAGUCGAGUAGUUUGGGAAUGCUGCUCUAAAUGGGAGGUGUACGUCUUCUAAAGCUAAAUACCGGCCAGAGACCGAUAGCGCACAAGUAGAGUGAUCGAAAGAUGAAAAGCACUUUGAAAAGAGGGUUAAAAAGUACGUGAAAUUGUUGAAAGGGAAGCAUUCAUGACCAGACUUGGGCUUGGUUGAACAUCCGGCGUUCUCGCCGGUGCACUCUGCCAGUCCAGGCCAGCAUCAGUUUGCCCCGGGGGACAAAGGCGGUGGGAAUGUGGCUCUCUCCGGGGAGUGUUAUAGCCCGCCGUGUAAUGCCCUGGGGCGGACUGAGGAACGCGCUUCGGCUCGGAUGCUGGCGUAAUGGUCAUCAAUGACCCGUCUUGAAACACGGACCAAGGAGUCGUCUUCGUAUGCGAGUGUUCGGGUGUCAAACCCCUACGCGAAAUGAAAGUGAACGUAGGUGAGAGCUUCGGCGCAUCAC
RNAcentral lists this ribosomal RNA (648 nucleotides) under Sarocladium spinificis. RNAcentral describes it as "partial large subunit ribosomal RNA". It matches the Rfam family "Eukaryotic large subunit ribosomal RNA", at positions 84 to 761 of the family's 3401-position model. Lineage: Eukaryota; Fungi; Ascomycota; Sordariomycetes; Hypocreales; Sarocladiaceae. The record is from RNAcentral.